AACUGCUUUUAUAUAGGAAGAACUACAGCUACGUGUAGCUGUUUGACGGUACUAUACGAAUAAGGACCGGCUAACUCCGUGCCAGCAGCCGCGGUAAUACGGAGGGUCCAAGCGUUAUCCGGAUUUAUUGGGUUUAAAGGGUCCGUAGGCGGGUUAUUAAGUCAGUGGUGAAAUCCUACAGCUCAACUGUAGAACUGCCAUUGAAACUGGUAACCUUGAGUAUAAUUGAAGUGGGCGGAAUGUGUCAUGUAGCGGUGAAAUGCUUAGAUAUGACACAGAACACCGAUUGCGAAGGCAGCUCACUAAGUUAUAACUGACGCUGAGGGACGAAAGCGUGGGUAGCGAACAGGAUUAGAUACCCUGGUAGUCCACGCCGUAAACGAUGUACACUCGUUGCUGGCGAUACACAGUCAGUGACCAAGCGAAAGUGUUAAGUGUACCACCUGGGGAGUACGCUCGCAAGAGUGAAACCCAAAGGAAUUGACGGGGGCCCGCACAAGCGGUGGAGCAUGUGGUUUAAUUCGAUGAUACGCGAGGAACCUUACCUGGGCUUAAAUGCAGAACGACAGACUAUGAAAAUAGUUUUUCUUCGGACGUUUUGCAAGGUGCUGCAUGGUUGUCGUCAGCUCGUGCCGUGAGGUGUUGGGUUAAGUCCCGCAACGAGCGCAACCCCUAUUCUUAGUUGCCAGCGAGUAAUGUCGGGGACUCUAAGAAAACUGCCCGCGCAAGCGUGGAGGAAGGUGGGGAUGACGUCAAAUCAUCACGGCCCUUACGUCCAGGGCCACACACGUGCUACAAUGGUAGGGACAGAGGGCAGCCACCUGGUGACAGGGAGCGAAUCCUAAAACCCUAUCUCAGUUCGGAUCGAAGUCUGCAACUCGACUUCGUGAAGCUGGAAUCGCUAGUAAUCGCGCAUCAGCCAUGGCGCGGUGAAUACGUUCCCGGGCCUUGUACACACCGCCCGUCAAGCCAUGGAAGCUGGGAGUGCCUGGAGUCGGUAACCGCAAGGAGCCGCCUAGGGUAAAACUGGUAACUGGGGCUAAGUCGUAACAAGGUAGCCGUACCGGAAGGUGCGGCUGGAACACCUCCUUUUU
Molecule: ribosomal RNA, 1094 nt
Filed under: uncultured Cryomorphaceae bacterium
Lineage: Bacteria; Pseudomonadati; Bacteroidota; Flavobacteriia; Flavobacteriales; Cryomorphaceae
Description: bacterial SSU rRNA
Rfam family: Bacterial small subunit ribosomal RNA
Source: RNAcentral